UCGGCCGGGUAAUAAACCGGAGGAAGUGGGGAUGACGUCAAAUCAUCAUGCCCCUUAUGACCUGGGCUACACACGUGCUACAAUGGUUGGUACAACGAGUUGCGAGUCGGUGACGGCGAGCUAAUCUCUUAAAGCCAAUCUCAGUUCGGAUUGUAGGCUGCAACUCGCCUACAUGAAGUCGGAAUCGCUAGUAAUCGCGGAUCAGCACGCCGCGGUGAAUACGUUCCCGGGCCUU
RNAcentral lists this ribosomal RNA (235 nucleotides) under uncultured Streptococcus sp. RNAcentral's name for it is "partial 16S ribosomal RNA". It matches the Rfam family "Bacterial small subunit ribosomal RNA", at positions 1147 to 1382 of the family's 1533-position model. The record is from RNAcentral. Lineage: Bacteria; Bacillati; Bacillota; Bacilli; Lactobacillales; Streptococcaceae.